UCCAGGAGGACUCAAAUUCUCUUCAGUACGAGAGAACAGGGAAACAAGAUUGUUGAAUUGCCAUGUCUUAUUAUAAUUGCUUUCAGUUUGUGGGUAGCAUAUUACAUUGACAAAGUUGUAACAUCCAAUUCCCGGAGUCUACAAGUUUUACGGAUAUGUUUACGUUUUGUUGUGACCUAUAAAGUGUAUCUGUUGUUUCUUGUCAAUUGUAACAGUGUAGAGUUCAAUUUAGUUGUAAGAGUAGUACUAAUUUAAUAAUGGGGUAUAUCAUUUGCUCUGCAUAGAAGAUUAAAGGAUCCAGAAUGACAAAAUCCUAAUGCAGCUGAGCUCAGUUUUUGAUGAGAACUUAUGGGAGUAGGAUAAACAAAUUAUGAGCUUCUAACUUUAACUUUGGGACCAAGAAAUCUAACAAGUCAUUUGCCUUUGGUGGCUUACACUAUGUUCAUACAGUCUUCCCAAACUUUAAUCUCUUUUUUCCCCCUGGUAUAAUAAUGGUGCAUCUUACUGUUGAUGUCUAUGUCAAUUGAUUAUGUUUUCUGGAAAUACUCCUUUUUUGCAGCUGGCUAAGGAGACUUUAUCUUUUUGGGUGAAGGCAUUCUCUGAGGAUACAGCUAAAAGACUAGAAAAUUUUGGGUUCAUACAAUUCAGACCAGGAGAAUGUGAGGCCCAAUGCUGAAAACCUCCCUGAGGAUUUGGGUUUGAUUGUGACUUAUUGUUGGAGAGAGGACCCAAACACUCGACCAAACUUCAGGCAAAUUAUACAGAUGCUCUUGCAUUAUCUGUCUACUAUUUCACCACCAGCGCCCAUUAUCCCUCCUCGGAUAUAUGCUGAAAAAUAUACUGUUUUUCCGCCAGAAUCUCCUGGUACAAGUUCCUUAAUGGCUGCAAGACAUGACUCAGGGGAAACCCCAACAUCCAAUAUAGAAGACAACUCUGUAGGUUUUUUCAGUUGCUUUAGACAUUGCUACUGAUCCCAUAUAAUAAUUAUUAGUCAAGUUCAAUAAACUAAAGUCUCAGAUAUUGCAAAAAUACUACAUCUUACUUCAAAAAAAAAAAAUAGUAAAUUUGCUGAAACUUAGUUAGUUUAGUAAGUUGACAUAGGAAAUUA
Long non-coding RNA from Quercus robur (English oak), 1108 nucleotides. RefSeq lists it as uncharacterized. The transcript is spliced from 2 exons. Lineage: Eukaryota; Viridiplantae; Streptophyta; Magnoliopsida; Fagales; Fagaceae. The record is from RefSeq and is a predicted model, not a curated record.